RNAcentral lists this ribosomal RNA (227 nucleotides) under uncultured bacterium. RNAcentral's name for it is "partial 16S ribosomal RNA". It matches the Rfam family "Bacterial small subunit ribosomal RNA", at positions 109 to 334 of the family's 1533-position model. The record is from RNAcentral.
AGUAACACGUGGUCAACCUUCCCUACAUGGGGGGAUAACUAGCCGAAAGGUUAGCUAAUACCGCAUGACAUCUACGAGUGGCAUCACAUGUAGAUCAAAGGAGCAAUCCGCUGAAGGAUGGGACCGCGCCCGAUUAGUUAGUUGGUGGGGUAAUGGCCUACCAAGACUCCGAUCGGUAGCUGGUUUGAGAGAGCGACCAGCCACACUGGGACUGAGAAACGGCCCAG